This is a small RNA of Flavobacterium branchiophilum FL-15, 83 nucleotides long. It matches the Rfam family "Flavo-1 RNA". Lineage: Bacteria; Pseudomonadati; Bacteroidota; Flavobacteriia; Flavobacteriales; Flavobacteriaceae. The record is from Rfam.
UGUUUGCGUGAGGGAUAGUAGCGGUAUCCUUUUCUUUUUUUUCUUUAAAAAAAGAAAAGAUAUAGCGAAUAGCCCGACCCUUG